RNAcentral lists this transfer RNA (61 nucleotides) under Tryella crassa. RNAcentral's name for it is "tRNA-Arg". Lineage: Eukaryota; Metazoa; Arthropoda; Insecta; Hemiptera; Cicadidae. The record is from RNAcentral.
AGUAAUGAAGUAAUUUAUACAUUUAGUUUCGACCUAAAAAUAGAAUUCUUUUCCUUUACUU